UUUUAUUCCUUUUCUUCUUUCUUCCAAAGCAAACAAUUCCCAAACCUUCUUUCCUGUGCUUUUAUCUCUUUUUCCCUUCUGCUGCAAAUCCCGACGUAAGUUGAUACUCUUCCUUUUCCUGAAACACCUUGAGUAUCACCACAGUAAGGGAUAAAGGAAAAGCCAAAUAUCCAACCCCAAUUUCAAUAUAAUACUGGUUAAGCCAACCCUCCCAUAAACAAAAAAAGAAAAGAACCAGUUAAAGAUACAUGCAUAUUCUCUUAGCUUUUCUGAUUCUUAAAAGUUAUCUGAGAAUAAAGCAGAUUCGGUAACUAAUUAAUUGAAAAUAAUCGAUAAAGAAAAAAUUAUCACCUCACAGGAAGAGCCCCGUCAACAAUAGUAUUAGAAGUGGUCAGAAGCAAAUUUUUUAACCUGGCUAAAAUUUAGAUAAUCCAGCAAGGAGAUGCAGCAUAAGCUGAUAUCAUAAAGAGCAUUCCGCGAAUAAGAAGGAAAUGCAAUUACUAUAAUGAAUUAUAAGGCAUCGAAUCCCUCGUGUUAGGAGGAAUUGAGAUACAGAGAUAUCGCAGAAAUAUGAAAAAUUGUUGCUCGUGAAAAGAUAUUUUUAAACUAGUUGGCAAUAGUUAGGAGGGAUGCACUAGCAGUACUAAUCAAUAAUGUCAAACUUUUCGUUCCGAGUUGCAAAUUAUUAGCGUAGAAUUUGAAACAAAUAUGAUUGAUGUAUAUCUCAUGAGACACGAUCUCAAAUUAGUAAUCGAUCUAUUUAUGUAACAUCACAACUUUUUCAAUAAACUCUCUUUCUCUCUCUCUCUCAUGCUUGAUUGUCAACAUGAAGACAUCAUUGAUCAAAUUAUUGAUAAACUUUAAACUCUUUUUAUCUUUACAUCCACAUCAAAUAUUAAGGGCUGAAGUUUGUCAGCAUUGUUCUUUAAUCUCAUCAUAACAGCUUUUUUCCAGUACACUAACCUUUUAUUGCUCAGUUGACAAUCUCAUUUAAUAACCAGUGGACGGUUUCAAAGUUUCUUGAGGGACACAAUAUUUUAUUGCUAAAAACUGCAAAUCUAAUAUGUUUCGUUGGGGUAACUGCGUGAUGCAUGAAGUCCUUUUCCAUUGACAAUCAAGAUCAAUACAGACAUCAAGCAACUAACUCAUUCAAUAUAAAUUUAUAUAAUUAGUUUUUAGAACCAACAUCUUUAGGACAUUUUUGUUGCAUUGAAUUUCAGAUUGCAGCGGAGGAUUCACUUGUACUAUAUGAAAUCGGGAAAGAAGAUUCUCCAAUGUGAUCAAUUUAGUUGAACUUGCAGUUCUGAGACUAGAAGCUAUAUGUUGAAGAAACAUUCAGUGGCAUCUCAUCCAGUCAUCAAUUUUGGCCCGCGAAAAUUAAUUCAAAAAAACUGAUCCAGAAUCUUCUUGAAUGCAUGCCUAUAAAAA
RNAcentral lists this long non-coding RNA (1428 nucleotides) under Olea europaea (common olive). RNAcentral describes it as "long non-coding RNA (OEUR_LNC014574)". Lineage: Eukaryota; Viridiplantae; Streptophyta; Magnoliopsida; Lamiales; Oleaceae. The record is from RNAcentral.